This 433-nucleotide ribosomal RNA is filed under the name uncultured bacterium. RNAcentral describes it as "partial 16S ribosomal RNA". It matches the Rfam family "Bacterial small subunit ribosomal RNA", at positions 29 to 507 of the family's 1533-position model. The record is from RNAcentral.
AACGAACGCUGGCGGCAUGCCUAACACAUGCAAGUCGAACGAGACCUUCGGGUCUAGUGGCGCACGGGUGCGUAACGCGUGGGAACCUGCCCUUAGGUUCGGAAUAACUCCCCGAAAGGGGUGCUAAUACCGGAUAAUGUCUUCGGACCAAAGAUUUAUCGCCUUUGGAUGGGCCCGCGUUGGAUUAGCUAGUUGGUAGGGUAAAAGCCUACCAAGGCGACGAUCCAUAGCUGGUCUGAGAGGAUGAUCAGCCACACUGGGACUGAGACACGGCCCAGACUCCUACGGGAGGGAGGAGUGGGGAAUAUUGGACAAUGGGGGAAAGCCUGGUCCAGCCAUGCCGGGGGAGUGAUGAAGGGCUUAGGGUUGUAAAGCUCUUUUACCCGGGAUGAUAAUGACAGUACCGGGAGAAUAAGCUCCGGCUAACUCCGUG